Molecule: unclassified non-coding RNA, 303 nt
Organism: Cebus imitator (Panamanian white-faced capuchin)
Lineage: Eukaryota; Metazoa; Chordata; Mammalia; Primates; Cebidae
Rfam family: Metazoan signal recognition particle RNA
About the family: The signal recognition particle (SRP) is a universally conserved ribonucleoprotein. It is involved in the co-translational targeting of proteins to membranes.
Source: Ensembl
ACUGGGUGUGGUGGUAGAUGCCUGUAGACCUAGCUACUCAGGAGGCUGAGAUGAGAGGAUUGCUUGAGCCUGGGAGUUCUGGGCUGUAAUGCACUAAGCUGACUGGGCAUCCGCACUAAGUUCCACAUUAAUAUGGCGACCUUUCAGUAAUUGGGGACAACCAGGUUGCUUAAGCAGCGGAUACCUACGUAGCCCAGGUCAGAAACAAAGCAGGUCAAAAUUCUUGUGCUGAUCAUUGGUGGGAUCACACCCGUGAAUAACCACUGCACUCCAGCCUUGGAAUGUAACAAGACCCUAUCUCCU